ACGUGGCUGGCUCAGUUGGAAGAGCAUGCGACUCUUGAUCGCAGGGUCAUGAGUUCAAGCCCCAUGCUGGGUG
Molecule: non-coding RNA, 73 nt
Organism: Canis lupus familiaris (dog)
Lineage: Eukaryota; Metazoa; Chordata; Mammalia; Carnivora; Canidae
Source: Rfam